UAGGUUGGAUAUGAUGACAGAGAAGGAAGCCUGAACACUGCAGAGAAAGGCUUUGCAGGGAGGCGGGACUUUGUCUGCCACUCAAGUCGGUUUCCCGGGUGGACAAGCUGGGGAGGGGAUUCCAAGCAGAGAAAAUUCUCGUGUGAACGCCGAAGGCGGGAACUAAGGAUGGCACAUCCCAGAACGUUUGUUAAGUGGGACCAAGCAACAAGACACUAUCUUCGUAGAACGCUGGUUCUCAACCUUCCUAACCCUCUGAUAUCCUGGGAGCGGUGAUUGUUCCAGUUUCAGAGUUAAGUCUGUACCUGAAGCCGCAACCUUCUGCCGCUGCGAGGGUGGAUUCUGGAGAGCGCGUUUGUCUUCAGUGUGUUAUUCGGUGUGGCGUUGUCCUGGGGGAUUUUACCAGAAAGCUUCCCUGAUUACUAUUUCCUUGACUGUGCUUUAGCUGUAAGUAACCUCCCUUAAGAUGACCUGACAUAAGUUUCCCUCCCUCCCUGCCUCCGUCCCUCCCUUCCUCCUUCCCCCACCCCUUCUUUUAAAACAGGAUCUCUCUAGGUAAUCCUUGCUGUUCUGGAACUCGCUCUGCAGACCAGCCUGGUUUCGAAUUCAGAGAUCUGCCUGCCUCUGCCUCUCCAGUGCUAGGAUCAAAGGUGUUCGCCACUGUGUCCCACGCUUUCUUUCUUGGCAAGGGCCCAAGUAUAAAGCCAAGCCAGCCUUACACCCAGCCUCAAAUCCUCCUGUCUCAGCCUCCUGAAUACUACUAGUCUCAGUGCCACAGCAAGUCUGGCAAGUUGUAAGUCUUUUGUGGGGGCUGGAGAGAUGGUUCAGUGGUUAAAAGCAUUGCCUGCUCUUCCAAAGGUCCUGAGUUCAAUUCCCAGCAACCACAUGGUGGCUCACAACCAUCUGUAAUGGGGUCUGGUGCCCUCC
Long non-coding RNA from Alexandromys fortis (reed vole), 927 nucleotides. RefSeq lists it as uncharacterized. NCBI's taxonomy places the organism in Eukaryota, Metazoa, Chordata, Mammalia, Rodentia, Cricetidae. The record is from RefSeq and is a predicted model, not a curated record. The transcript is spliced from 3 exons.